AAACAACGCUCGCGGCUAUGCCUUAACACAAUUCAAGUCGAGCGCGCCUUCGGGUGAGCGGCGGACGGGUUAGUAACGCUGGACGUGCCCUUCUCUACGGAAUAGCUCUGGAAACGGCAGAGUAAUACCGUAUACGCCCUUUGGGGGGAAAGAUUUAUCGGAGAAGAUCGGCCCGCGUAGAUUAGUAGUGGUGGGGUAACGGCUACCAAAGCCUACGAUUCUAUAGCUGGUUUUAGAGGAUGAUCAGCAACACUGGGACUGAGACACGGCCCAGACUCCUACGUGGAGUGCAGCAGUGGGGAAUCUUAGACAAUGGGGGCAACCCUGAUCUAGCCAUGCCGCGUGAGUGAUGAAGCCUUAGGGUCGUAAAGCUCUUUCGCCUGUGAUGAUAAUGACAGUAGCAGGUAAAGAAACCCCGGCUAACUCCGUGCCAGCAGCCGCGGUAAUACGGAGGGGGUUAGCGUUGUUCGGAAUUACUGGGCGUAAAGCGCGCGUAGGCGGAUUAGAAAGUUGGGGGUGAAAUCCCGGGGCUCAACCCCGGAACUGCCUCCAAAACUGCUAGUCUAGAGUUCGAGAGAGGUGAGUGGAAUUCCGAGUGUAGAGGUGAAAUUCGUAGAUAUUCGGAGGA
This 628-nucleotide ribosomal RNA is filed under the name uncultured Paracoccaceae bacterium. Its description in RNAcentral is "bacterial SSU rRNA". It matches the Rfam family "Bacterial small subunit ribosomal RNA", at positions 28 to 705 of the family's 1533-position model. The record is from RNAcentral. Lineage: Bacteria; Pseudomonadati; Pseudomonadota; Alphaproteobacteria; Rhodobacterales; Paracoccaceae.